Molecule: small nucleolar RNA, 84 nt
Filed under: Jatropha curcas
Lineage: Eukaryota; Viridiplantae; Streptophyta; Magnoliopsida; Malpighiales; Euphorbiaceae
Description: Small nucleolar RNA U31b
Rfam family: Small nucleolar RNA U31b
Source: Rfam by way of RNAcentral
GGAUAUGAUGAUGCCUUUUGACACCCAGUCUUACUUCCAUCUCUUGGUGGAAAUGGUGAUAGAAAUUGAGGAUUUAUCUGAUCC